GACGAACGCUGGCGGCGUGCUUAACACAUGCAAGUCGAACGGAAAGGCCCUGAUUUUGUGGCUUGCUCGAGUGGCGAACGGGUGAGUAACACGUGAGUAACCUGCCCUUGACUUUGUGAUAACUUUAGGAAACUGGGGCUAAUACCUCAUAGGAUCUCCUGCUCCAUGGUGGGGGUUGGAAAGUUUCGGCGGUUGGGGAUGGAGUCUCGGCUUAUCGGCUUGUUGGUGGGGUAGUGUCUUACCAAGCCUUUGACGGGUAGCCGGCCUGAGAGGGUGACCGGGGCCAUGGGGACUGAGAGACGCACCAGACUCGUACGGGAGGCAGAAGUGGGGAAUAUUGCGCACUAGGCGGAAGCCUGAUGGAGAGACGCCGCGUGCGGGAUGACAGCCUUCGGGGUGUAAACCGCUUUCGCAUGAGACGAAGCGUGAGUGACGGUAAUGGGUAAAGAAGCACCGGCUAACUACGUG
This 468-nucleotide ribosomal RNA is filed under the name uncultured bacterium. RNAcentral's name for it is "partial 16S ribosomal RNA". It matches the Rfam family "Bacterial small subunit ribosomal RNA", at positions 28 to 507 of the family's 1533-position model. The record is from RNAcentral.